UACGAAGGGGGCUAGCGUUGCUCGGAAUUACUGGGCGUAAAGCGCACGUAGGCGGCUUUGCAAGUUAGAGGUGAAAGCCCGGGGCUCAACUCCGGAAUUGCCUUUAAAACUGCAUCGCUAGAAUUGUGGAGAGGUAAGUGGAAUUCCGAGUGUAGAGGUGAAAUUCGUAGAUAUUCGGAAGAACACCAGUGGCGAAGGCGACUUACUGGACACAUAUUGACGCUGAGGUGCGAAAGCGUGGGGAGCAAACAGG
RNAcentral lists this ribosomal RNA (253 nucleotides) under uncultured bacterium. RNAcentral describes it as "partial 16S ribosomal RNA". It matches the Rfam family "Bacterial small subunit ribosomal RNA", at positions 524 to 776 of the family's 1533-position model. The record is from RNAcentral.